This 600-nucleotide long non-coding RNA is filed under the name Pan troglodytes (chimpanzee). RNAcentral describes it as "long non-coding RNA NONPTRT004222". The record is from RNAcentral. Lineage: Eukaryota; Metazoa; Chordata; Mammalia; Primates; Hominidae.
AACUAAGUGGCCGGAAGCGGUGGCUCAUGCCGGUUAUCUCAACUUCCAUCAGGCCUCAGCUGAAAGCUCAUCUGCCAAAAUGCAUCAGCACUCAUGUAAAAUAAAAGGAGUAGGGAGGUGACUUUGUACACAUACUGUCCAGUGUUUGGCUUCCAGUUUCCCUCUUGUGUGUAACUAUUCUAGGCCCUGUCUGACCUGCAGCCGGCUGUUGAGGCGGCCCUAGUCGGCCUCCUUCUGGUGAUCUGUUUCUUGUGCGUGUCCACCAACAGCAAGAGGUCCGAAUUGCCCUUUUCCAGCCGCUCGCGGGCCACUUCGGUGCGCCGGACCUGGCCCUGCAGCUCGGCCACCUCCUCCUGAAGCAGGACGUGGCAGGUAGAGAUGCUCCAGCAGUUGAAGGUGAGGACGACGGUCACUACCAGCAGCACCACCAGCACGAGAGAAGGCAGGCGGCGAGCCGGCCGGUUGGCCCCGAAACCCACCAUGAGGCCAAAUCGGGCUGUACCCUAGAGGCCUCGCCGCAGACACCUGCAGGCAGAAGCCCAGGCCUCAGCUGGAGUUCCCCGGGGGACACGGCCCCAGGGCCGGCAGAGGGAGCAGGCG